UGCUAACGUCCGUAGUGGAGAGGGAAACAACCCUGACCUACAGCUAAGGCCCCCAAUUCAUGGCUAAGUGGGAAAGCAGGUGGGACGACCAAAACAACCAGGAGGUUGGCUUAGAAGCAGCCAUCCUUUAAAGAUAGCGUAACAGCUCACUGGUCUAAAUAAGUUGUCCUGCGGCGAAGAUGUAACGGGGCUCAAGCCAUGAGCCGAAGCUUAGGAUGCGUGAGCAUGGUAGCGGAGCGUAGUG
RNAcentral lists this ribosomal RNA (244 nucleotides) under uncultured Micromonas. Its description in RNAcentral is "partial Bacterial large subunit ribosomal RNA". It matches the Rfam family "Bacterial large subunit ribosomal RNA", at positions 996 to 1243 of the family's 2925-position model. The record is from RNAcentral. Lineage: Eukaryota; Viridiplantae; Chlorophyta; Mamiellophyceae; Mamiellales.